GUGGAAAACUGCAGGGGAGCCUAAUCUCCACCCUACCAUCUAAUAUUCUUCAAUUCCACCUAUUCCCCUCUUUAUUCCUCUGUCCAAUACUUGCCGUAGAAGAGGAACAGGUUAAGCAAGCAGCGAUCCGAAAGGCCAUCCCUGCUUUCGGUUCCAGGAAAGAGAAAGAUAGAGGGCUCUCUUUUGUUUUCUUUCCUGGAAUCGGUUUCCCUUUGAGCUUUGAUUUUCCCGGGGAAAUUUCUAAGUGGAUCUGACAAGGCUUUCGUGGGUCUUUCUUGUAUUGAAUGACAUGGGGCCUCAUGAGAGCUUUGCACAUUAUUACAUCUGGUGUCUUUAACAACACUGGCAUUUGGCCCCUCAACUGCAGCAUUAGUUUUGGCUUGAACUUGCAUCAAUGAAACUUUUGCUGGCAAAAAGCAUGAAAAAACUUGUUAGCAAGUUGAGUGGUUGUCUUGGCCGCUUUACCAAACCAACAAUAACUACCUCAUUGGAUACACAAUCAAAAGGAGUGAUUCAAGGUCGCAAGGUGAAAAAGCCUAGCAUAUCAGAGUAUUUCUCGACCACCAGUAGGUGGGAUAUGGACAACAGUGCAGUUCAGUCGCAAGGAAGCAUAUCAUCAAUAAGUACAACCAAUCAAAUUCUGGAUUUGCAUGGUGUUGCAGGAAAUGCCAACACCCCUUCUGAAUUUGUAAAUCAUGGUCUUCUUCUCUGGAAUCAGACUAGGCAGCGAUGGGUAGGAAGUAAGAGGUCCGAGAACAGGGUUCAACAGACACGAGAACUCAAAUUAAGAUUUCAAGAAAUAAUAUCAUCCCAAGAAGCCCCAAGGGGUAGCACAAUUGGUUGGGGAUCAUGCCUCAUGAAUCGGAGUUGGAAUGCAUCGUAUGAAAGUUUGCUUGGGAGCAACAAGCCAUUCCCUCAGUCUAUACCGCUUGUUGAAAUGGUAGAUUUUCUCGUGGACAUCUGGGAGCAGGAGGGAUUAUAUGAUUGAGCAGCAGAAGUGUUUGAUGCAUUAAAAGUUUUUGAGAUAUCAAAACCCGUCAUAGCUGUUCUAACAUUCAAGAUGCUUCCAUGGAUUUCUUGGUUUGCAUGGCUAAGAGCAUUAGCAAUGGCAUUGCCAAAUGCAAGUCCAAAUUCAAAACAAAUGUGAGAAAAAACAUCUGCAUUGGCCUAGCUAAACUUAUCAAGUUUGACAUUUAUGCUAUAGUAUUUGUUAGCUCCUUUCCAAGUUUGGCGAGACAUCGAUAUAUACAAUUGUUUUUCACUCUCGUUUUUGGAUGAAUACAAAUUGUGUAAUUGUUUUGGACA
This is an RNA transcript of Carya illinoinensis, 1305 nucleotides long. RefSeq lists it as uncharacterized. The record is from RefSeq and is a predicted model, not a curated record. Lineage: Eukaryota; Viridiplantae; Streptophyta; Magnoliopsida; Fagales; Juglandaceae. The transcript has 9 exons.